UUACUUACCUGGCGUAACGUACCAUCGUGAUCACGAAGGCGGUUCCCCUAGAAUGAGAUUCGACCAUUACACUAUGGUUCGGUUGAUCUUUGCGAUUGUUCCUAAUGCGGAUAACUUGGACGCGUAAAUGAUGGUAAUGGGGACUGCGCACGCGCCGUCUCCC
This is a small nuclear RNA of Vanessa atalanta (red admiral), 163 nucleotides long. RefSeq annotates it as U1 spliceosomal RNA. Lineage: Eukaryota; Metazoa; Arthropoda; Insecta; Lepidoptera; Nymphalidae. The transcript has a single exon. The record is from RefSeq and is a predicted model, not a curated record.